RNAcentral lists this long non-coding RNA (903 nucleotides) under Monodelphis domestica (gray short-tailed opossum). RNAcentral describes it as "lncRNA (ENSMODG00000032886.2)". Lineage: Eukaryota; Metazoa; Chordata; Mammalia; Didelphimorphia; Didelphidae. The record is from RNAcentral.
CGGUGAUGGAACUGGAUGGCUACUGGGGACUCUUCCAAGUCAGAUGCUGAGAUUCUAAGGGUUAUUCUGUUCAUAUAUAUUCUACAAGGAGUCAUGGUCAAGAUUUCAGCAAGAAGCAAUAUUAUCGUCACUCCCUGACAAACCAUUCCAUAAUUGUAUCAUACCCAGUACUGGAAGACACAGAAAUAAGGAAGACCCUCUCCUCAGAGAGGUCUACUGGGGCAAGGAGGAGAUAAGAUAAGGAGAACAAACAACUAUUGCCAUCAGAAAUGAAGGAGAUAGUUGCAGAGAAAACUGGGAAGAUUUGUAUGAAUUGAUGCAAAAUGAAUCUUGUUUUAAUAGAUGGAGCCAUACCACUCAUCAAUUUUCAAACCAAGUACUGAAAACUUUCCCAAAUACCAAGAUAUAACAGAAGAAGCCAAAGUCAUGUGGGAACAAGAUGAACUGGACAUCAGCCCUUUCAAACUCUCUGCUAACUGUCCCAAGGACACUUUUGAAAAGGGGCAAUGCCACUUAUACUGCCAGCCUAGUAGAAGUUGGAGAAGCACUCAGCAGGGACAUUGUAGGUAGGAUUUUUUUAAAUUUUGGUUUGGAUUGGACUUGGUGAUUGGGAAGGUCUGGCAUAAGAUUCAAAUGAUCUAAUAGAUGAAAUAGUGUUUAUAAUCCUAAAGUCCCAUGCAGAAGUGGGAAAUGGAGAAUUCAGGAUUAGAACAUAGACAUUCUAGAAGUACUUCCUGAUAGAAAAGUAAAUUUUUAUACUGGAAGUUCCUGGACUUUGAACUGGAAGAGACUUUAGAAGUCAUUUAACUCAAUCCCCUUAUCUUACAGGGAAAGAAGCAGCUCCGGAGAAGGAAAGGACUUAUUCAAGGUUACAUAGCUAAUAAAUGACCAAGCUUGAGCCCA